CAGUCGCCGCGGGAAUACGUAGGUGGCAAGCGUUGUCCGGAAUUAUUGGGCGUAAAGGGCUCGCAGGCGGUUUCUUAAGUCUGAUGUGAAAGCCCCCGGCUCAACCGGGGAGGGUCAUUGGAAACUGGGAAACUUGAGUGCAGAAGAGGAGAGUGGAAUUCCACGUGUAGCGGUGAAAUGCGUAGAGAUGUGGAGGAACACCAGUGGCGAAGGCGACUCUCUGGUCUGUAACUGACGCUGAGGAGCGAAAGCUAGGGGAGAAAAUGGGAUUAGAGACCCCAGUAGUCCCUGUCUCUUAUAC
Molecule: ribosomal RNA, 301 nt
Filed under: uncultured bacterium
Lineage: Bacteria
Description: partial 16S ribosomal RNA
Rfam family: Bacterial small subunit ribosomal RNA
Source: RNAcentral